This 471-nucleotide ribosomal RNA is filed under the name uncultured organism. Its description in RNAcentral is "partial 16S ribosomal RNA". It matches the Rfam family "Bacterial small subunit ribosomal RNA", at positions 332 to 799 of the family's 1533-position model. The record is from RNAcentral.
UACACUCCUGCGGGAGGCAGCAGUGAGGAAUAUUGGACAAUGGGUGGAAGCCUGAUCCAGCCAUCCCGCGUGCAGGAAGACGGCCCUAUGGGUUGUAAACUGCUUUUAUCUGGGGAUAAACCUACUUACGUGUAAGUAGCUGAAGGUACCAGAAGAAUAAGCACCGGCUAACUCCGUGCCAGCAGCCGCGGUAAUACGGAGGGUGCAAGCGUUAUCCGGAUUUAUUGGGUUUAAAGGGUCCGUAGGCGGACUGAUAAGUCAGUGGUGAAAUCCGACAGCUUAACUGUCGAACUGCCAUUGAUACUGUUAGUCUUGAGUAAGGUUGAAGUGGCUGGAAUAAGUAGUGUAGCGGUGAAAUGCAUAGAUAUUACUUAGAACACCAAUUGCGAAGGCAGGUCACUAAGUCUUAACUGACGCUGAUGGACGAAAGCGUGGGGAGCGAACAGGAUUAGAAACCCGAGUAGUCCCAUG